Molecule: ribosomal RNA, 383 nt
Filed under: uncultured bacterium
Lineage: Bacteria
Description: bacterial SSU rRNA
Rfam family: Bacterial small subunit ribosomal RNA
Source: RNAcentral
UGAGGAAUAUUGGUCAAUGGGUGCAAGCCUGAACCAGCCAUCCCGCGUGAAGGACGACUGCCCUAUGGGUUGUAAACUUCUUUUGUAUAGGGAUAAACCUACCCUCGUGAGGGUAGCUGAAGGUACUAUACGAAUAAGCACCGGCUAACUCCGUGCCAGCAGCCGCGGUAAUACGGAGGGUGCAAGCGUUAUCCGGAUUUAUUGGGUUUAAAGGGUCCGUAGGCGGACUUAUAAGUCAGUGGUGAAAGCCUGUCGCUUAACGAUAGAACUGCCAUUGAUACUGUAAGUCUUGAGUAUAUUUGAGGUAGCUGGAAUAGGUAGUGUAGCGGUGAAAUGCAUAGAUAUUACUUAGAACACCGAUUGCGAACGCAGGUUACCAAGAU